UGAUGGAAAAGACAUUUAGAAACCACUUGCUGCAUUCUUGGUGGUUGUGCAGAAGGCUGACCUUCUGCUUUUCGAAGAUGUACAGUUGUGUAAUUGCAUGUCUGUUUGGAG
Long non-coding RNA from Poecilia latipinna (sailfin molly), 111 nucleotides. RefSeq lists it as uncharacterized. The record is from RefSeq and is a predicted model, not a curated record. The transcript has 4 exons. NCBI's taxonomy places the organism in Eukaryota, Metazoa, Chordata, Actinopteri, Cyprinodontiformes, Poeciliidae.